Non-coding RNA from Vigna umbellata (rice bean), 245 nucleotides. The record is from RefSeq and is a predicted model, not a curated record. Lineage: Eukaryota; Viridiplantae; Streptophyta; Magnoliopsida; Fabales; Fabaceae.
UAUACUAACUGCUUUUGUUCGUUGCCACAGAUUCCAUCCCAGUUUUGCAGCCAACAGACGGCCGAAGAUAUGGCUUUAUUGGCUUAUAAUCGCGCUCUUAAGCUCUCUACGCAGGAUCCCCAGUUGUUGGUGUCGGUUUCACUGGCUCUUUGGCUAGCAGUCGUCCAAAACUCGGGGAACACCGACUUUACAUGUCAACAAGGACAGCUGACCAACUGUGGAUAUCAAGAGUGACCUUGACUAAG